UACGUAGGGGGCAAGCGUUGUCCGGAUUUAUUGGGCGUAAAGAGCGUGUAGGCGGCCAGGUAGGUCUGCUGUGAAAACUCGAGGCUUAACCUCGAGCUGUCGGCGGAAACCAUCUGGCUAGAGUCCGGAAGAGGAGAAUGGAAUUCCCGGUGUAGCGGUGAAAUGCGUAGAUAUCGAGAGGAACACCAGAGGUGAAGACGGGUUGCUGGGCUGACACUGACGCUGAGGCGCGAAAGCCAGGGGAGCAAACGGG
RNAcentral lists this ribosomal RNA (253 nucleotides) under uncultured bacterium. RNAcentral's name for it is "partial 16S ribosomal RNA". It matches the Rfam family "Bacterial small subunit ribosomal RNA", at positions 524 to 776 of the family's 1533-position model. The record is from RNAcentral.